AUCCUUUCGGUUCAUACUAAUGAUGAUUGGUCUGUUCUCGCUAUUGCGUGAGAUGUGCAGCCUCUUGUUACGCAUUGCACACGACCCCUCUGAAC
This is a small nucleolar RNA of Chanos chanos (milkfish), 95 nucleotides long. RefSeq annotates it as small nucleolar RNA U13. Lineage: Eukaryota; Metazoa; Chordata; Actinopteri; Gonorynchiformes; Chanidae. The record is from RefSeq and is a predicted model, not a curated record. The transcript has a single exon.